This 441-nucleotide ribosomal RNA is filed under the name uncultured bacterium. RNAcentral's name for it is "partial 16S ribosomal RNA". It matches the Rfam family "Bacterial small subunit ribosomal RNA", at positions 338 to 795 of the family's 1533-position model. The record is from RNAcentral.
CCUACGGUUGGCAGCAGUGGGGAAUAUUGGGCAAUGGGCGCAAGCCUGACCCAGCAACGCCGCGUGAAGGAAGAAGGCUUUCGGGUUGUAAACUUCUUUUAAGGGGGAAGAGGAGAAGACGGUACCCCUUGAAUAAGCCACGGCUAACUCCGUGCCAGCAGCCGCGGUAAUACGGAGGAUGCGAGCGUUAUCCGGAUUUAUUGGGUUUAAAGGGUGCGCAGGCGGCCUGUUAAGUCAGCGGUAAAAGCCCGGGGCUCAACCCCGGCGAGCCGUUGAAACUGGCGGGCUGGAGUUGGAGAGAAGUACGCGGAAUGCGCGGUGUAGCGGUGAAAUGCUUAGAUAUCGCGCAGAACCCCGAUUGCGAAGGCAGCGUACCGGCUCCACACUGACGCUGAGGCACGAAAGCGUGGGUAUCGAACAGGAUUAGAUACCCGAGUAGUC